AGCGAACGCUGGCGGCAGGCUUAACACAUGCAAGUCGAACGCAUCCUUCGGGGUGAGUGGCAGACGGGUGAGUAACACGUGGGAACGUACCUCUUUGUUCGGAAUAGCUUUUGGAAACGAAAGGUAAUACCGGAUACGCCCUUUUGGGGAAAGAUUUAUCGCAGAGAGAUCGGCCCGCGUCUGAUUAGCUAGUUGGUGAGGUAAUGGCUCACCAAGGCGACGAUCAGUAGCUGGUCUGAGAGGAUGAUCAGCCACACUGGGACUGAGACACGGCCCAGACUCCUACGGGAGGCAGCAGUGGGGAAUAUUGGACAAUGGGCGCAAGCCUGAUCCAGCCAUGCCGCGUGAGUGAUGAAGGCCUUAGGGUUGUAAAGCUCUUUUGUCCGGGAAGAUAAUGACUGUACCGGAAGAAUAAGCCCCGGCUAACUUCGUGCCAGCCGCCGCCGUAA
This 449-nucleotide ribosomal RNA is filed under the name uncultured bacterium. RNAcentral describes it as "partial 16S ribosomal RNA". It matches the Rfam family "Bacterial small subunit ribosomal RNA", at positions 29 to 523 of the family's 1533-position model. The record is from RNAcentral.